GACGAACCGUGCGAACGUUAUUCGGAAUCAUUGGGCUUAAAGGGCGCGUAGGCGGCGGCAUAAGUUGGAAGUGAAAUCCCAUCGGCUCAACCGUGGAAUUGCUCCCAGUACUGCGUCGCUCGAGGGGGAUAGGGGUCUGCGGAACUACCGGUGGAGCGGUGAAAUGUGUUGAUAUCGGUGGGAACGCCAGUGGCGAAAGCGGCAGACUUGACCCUUCCUGACGCUGAGGCGCGAAAGCUAGGGGAGCAAACGGG
This 254-nucleotide ribosomal RNA is filed under the name uncultured bacterium. RNAcentral's name for it is "partial 16S ribosomal RNA". It matches the Rfam family "Bacterial small subunit ribosomal RNA", at positions 524 to 776 of the family's 1533-position model. The record is from RNAcentral.